AGAUAAAAAUUUAUGAUUUAAAAAAUUUAUUUUAAGUUUAAUUUACAUAUAAAUUUUAGUGUUAAUUUUGUUAUAUUUAAAUAAUAUAACGAUUAAAUAUAUAGUAAUUAAAAUUAAAAAUUUGAGAAAUUAAGAUUUAGUAAUACAAAAAUUAAAUAACAAAUUUUGUGCCAGCAGUUGCGGUUAUACAAAAAUUUAAAUAAAUUUUAUUAGUAAAAAUAAAUAAAAUAAAAAUAAAUUAAAAAAUAAAUUAUUAAGUGAAAUUUUAAUUUUUUAAAAAUUUAAAUUAAAAUUAUGAUUUUAAAAAUUUUAUUAUAAACUAGGAUUAGAUACCCUAUUAUAAAAAAUUAAAAUAAAUUACUAAAAUAGUAUAUAAUUAUUUAUUGAAACUUAAGUAAUUUGGCGGUAUUUUAGUUCAUUUAGAGGAAUCUGUCUAGUAAUUGAUAUUCCACGAAUAAUCAUAUUUAAUUUAUAAUUUUAUAUAUCGUUGUUAAAAAAAUAUUUUUAAAUAAAAAUAAUAUUUUAAAAUUUUAAUUUAAAAUUAAUUCAGAUCAAGAUGUAGAUAAUAAUUAAAAUUUAAGAUGGAUUACAAUAUAUUUAUAUAAAUGGAUAAUAAUUUUAAAAUAUUUAUUUGAAGGUGGAUUUAAAUGUAAUUUUAAAUAGUUUUUUGGAAUGAUUAAUAAUUGAAAUAUGUACAUAUUGCCCGUCACUUUCAUUUAAAAAUUGAAAUAAGUCGUAACAAAGUAGGGGUACUGGAAAGUGUUCCUAGAAAGA
Molecule: non-coding RNA, 774 nt
Filed under: Baltia butleri
Lineage: Eukaryota; Metazoa; Arthropoda; Insecta; Lepidoptera; Pieridae
Source: RNAcentral